Molecule: ribosomal RNA, 521 nt
Filed under: uncultured Gammaproteobacteria bacterium
Lineage: Bacteria; Pseudomonadati; Pseudomonadota; Gammaproteobacteria
Also listed under: 1 other name
Description: bacterial SSU rRNA
Rfam family: Bacterial small subunit ribosomal RNA
Source: RNAcentral
AGAGUUUGAUUAUGGCUCAGAUUGAACGCUGGCGGCAGGCCUAACACAUGCAAGUCGAGCGGUAGAGAGAAGCUUGCUUCUCUUGAGAGCGGCGGACGGGUGAGUAAUGCCUAGGAAUCUGCCUGGUAGUGGGGGAUAACGUUCGGAAACGGACGCUAAUACCGCAUACGUCCUACGGGAGAAAGCAGGGGACCUUCGGGCCUUGCGCUAUCAGAUGAGCCUAGGUCGGAUUAGCUAGUUGGUGAGGUAAUGGCUCACCAAGGCGACGAUCCGUAACUGGUCUGAGAGGAUGAUCAGUCACACUGGAACUGAGACACGGUCCAGACUCCUACGGGAGGCAGCAGUGGGGAAUAUUGGACAAUGGGCGAAAGCCUGAUCCAGCCAUGCCGCGUGUGUGAAGAAGGUCUUCGGAUUGUAAAGCACUUUAAGUUGGGAGGAAGGGCAGUUACCUAAUACGUGAUUGUUUUGACGUUACCGACAGAAUAAGCACCGGCUAACUCUGUGCCAGCAGCCGCGGUAAU